GAAUCUUGGACAAUGGGCGCAAGCCUGAUCCGGCCAUGCCGCGUGAGUGAUGAAGGCCUUAGGGUUGUAAAGCUCUUUCACCGGUGACGAUAAUGACGGUAGCCGGAGAAGAAGCCCCGGCUAACUUCGUGCCAGCAGCCGCGGUAAUACGAAGGGGGCUAGCGUUGUUCGGAAUUACUGGGCGUAAAGCGCACGUAGGCGGACGACUAAGUCAGGGGUGAAAGCCCAGGGCUCAACCCUGGAAUUGCCUUUGAUACUGGUCGUCUUGAGGUCGGAAGAGGAGAGUGGAAUUCCCAGUGUAGAGGUGAAAUUCGUAGAUAUUGGGAAGAACACCCGUGGCGAAGGCGGCUCUCUGGUCCGAAUCUGACGCUGAGGUGCGAAAGCGUGGGGAGCAAACAGG
Molecule: ribosomal RNA, 400 nt
Filed under: uncultured bacterium
Lineage: Bacteria
Description: bacterial SSU rRNA
Rfam family: Bacterial small subunit ribosomal RNA
Source: RNAcentral